CAACUCGCCUACAUGAAGUUGGAAUCGCUAGUAAUCGCGAAUCAGAAUGUCGCGGUGAAUACGUUCCCGGGUCUUGUACACACCGCCCGUCACACCACGAGAGUUUACAACACCCGAAGUCAGUGGCCUAACCGCAAGGAGGGAGCUGCCUAAGGUGGGGUANAUGAUUGGGGUGAAGUCGUAACAAGGUACC
Molecule: ribosomal RNA, 193 nt
Filed under: uncultured bacterium
Lineage: Bacteria
Description: partial 16S ribosomal RNA
Rfam family: Bacterial small subunit ribosomal RNA
Source: RNAcentral